GAGCAAAACAACAUAGCACAGCUAAACAGUUCGCCGUUUCUGUUGGUGGCGUAAUUUAUUGAUCUCGAAGCCGUGACAUAUAAAGAACCGGGUCGCCCCGCAUCGGCAGGAGGCAACGGUUAGCUCUAUACAUAAAUCUACAACAUCCAGCCCCGACGAUGAACACGGCAAACCAGGUUGGUGCUUCUAGUAACCGGUUUAUCAAUAACGGCCCCAACAGGGGCCGUUGUUCCCCGUUGUUCUAUUGGGCCCAGCUCAUUCUUUUGGCCAAGCCGGAAAAGAACCAGUCGGAAGCAGACAGCGGAGGUGCUCCGGGCAGUGGUGCGUGCCCGUGGAGCAGUGCAACCAGGCAGGGUUGCCAGAAAUUCCGUGAUCAUCAGCUGUGAUAAACCUGUGUCGUCCGAUAGCUGUGAUAUGACUGUUGUGCGUUUGGAGUAUAAGAAGUUUGUGAACUGAGUCCCGAGAGUAAUAAUGUUAAGC
Long non-coding RNA from Uranotaenia lowii, 480 nucleotides. RefSeq lists it as uncharacterized. NCBI's taxonomy places the organism in Eukaryota, Metazoa, Arthropoda, Insecta, Diptera, Culicidae. The transcript has 3 exons. The record is from RefSeq and is a predicted model, not a curated record.